Molecule: ribosomal RNA, 507 nt
Filed under: uncultured bacterium
Lineage: Bacteria
Description: bacterial SSU rRNA
Rfam family: Bacterial small subunit ribosomal RNA
Source: RNAcentral
CCGCGUGUGUVAAGAAGGCCCUAGGGUUGUAAAGCACUUUAAGCAGGAAAGAAAAGCGCCGGGUUAAUAACCCGAGCGUAUUGACGGUACCUGCAGAAUAAGCACCGGCUAACUUCGUGCCAGCAGCCGCGGUAAUACGAAGGGUGCAAGCGUUAAUCGGAAUUACUGGGCGUAAAGCGAGUGUAGGCGGUUUCGUGUGUCGGAUGUGAAAGCCCUGGGCUCAACCUGGGAAUUGCAUUCGAAACUGCGGAACUAGAAUAUGGUAGAGGAAGACGGAAUUCCACGUGUAGCGGUGAAAUGCGUAGAUAUGUGGAGGAACACCAAUGGCGAAGGCAGUCUUCUGGGCCAAUAUUGACGCUGAGGCUCGAAAGCGAGGGUAGCAAACAGGAUUAGAUACCCUGGUAGUCCACGCCGUAAACGAUGAGAACUAGACGUUGGUUGACAUAGUCGAUCAGUGUCGCAGCUAACGCGUUAAGUUCUCCGCCUGGGGAGUACGGUCGCAAGCUA